RNAcentral lists this ribosomal RNA (253 nucleotides) under uncultured bacterium. Its description in RNAcentral is "partial 16S ribosomal RNA". It matches the Rfam family "Bacterial small subunit ribosomal RNA", at positions 524 to 776 of the family's 1533-position model. The record is from RNAcentral.
UACGUAGGUGGCAAGCGUUGUCCGGAUUUACUGGGCGUAAAGAGCGCGCAGGCGGUCGUUCAAGUCGCGUGUGAAAGCCCCCGGCUCAACUGGGGAGGGUCACGCGAUACUGAUCGACUCGAAGGCAGGAGAGGGAAGCGGAAUUCCCGGUGUAGUGGUGAAAUGCGUAGAUAUCGGGAGGAACACCAGUGGCGAAGGCGGCUUCCUGGCCUGUUCUUGACGCUGAGGCGCGAAAGCUAGGGUAGCAAACGGG